GAUGAACGCUGGCGGCGUGCCUAAUACAUGCAAGUCGAGCGAACAGACGAGGAGCUUGCUCCUCUGACGUAGCGGCGGACGGGUGAGUAACACGUGGAUAACCUACCUAUAAGACUGGGAUAACUUCGGGAAACCGGAGCUAAUACCGGAUAAUAUAUUGAACCGCAUGGUUCAAUAGUGAAAGACGGUUUUGCUGGCACUUAUAGAUGGAUCCGCGCCGCAUUAGCUAGAUGGUAAGGUAACGGCUUACCAAGGCAACGAUGCGUAGCCGACCUGAGAGGGUGAUCGGCCACACUGGAACUGAGACACGGUCCAGACUCCUACGGGAGGCAGCAGUAGGGAAUCUUCCGCAAUGGGCGAAAGCCUGACGGAGCAACGCCGCGUGAGUGAUGAAGGUCUUCGGAUCGUAAAACUCUGUUAUUAGGGAAGAACAAAUGUGUAAGUAACUAUGCACGUCUUGACGGUACCUAAUCAGAAAGCCACGGCUAACUACGUG
RNAcentral lists this ribosomal RNA (496 nucleotides) under uncultured bacterium. RNAcentral describes it as "partial 16S ribosomal RNA". It matches the Rfam family "Bacterial small subunit ribosomal RNA", at positions 28 to 507 of the family's 1533-position model. The record is from RNAcentral.